Long non-coding RNA from Syngnathus acus (greater pipefish), 107 nucleotides. RefSeq lists it as uncharacterized. The record is from RefSeq and is a predicted model, not a curated record. The transcript is spliced from 3 exons. Lineage: Eukaryota; Metazoa; Chordata; Actinopteri; Syngnathiformes; Syngnathidae.
CUCUUUUCCAGAGGCCCACGCGGUCCCUGAAACAAACAAACAAACAAACAAACAAACAAACAAACAAACAAACAAACAAACAAACUACCAAACACUCCAGGACUUAU